CUUCAGUGAUGAGACGAUGACGAGUCGGAACUGGUCUCCGUCUGGUUCUGAUGGUUCCCGGUUCAGAGUCACGUUCUGUGGUUCUGCUCCGGCUCAUCAGAGCAGCGAGUCCUUUUCGCUUGAAGACAUCGAGGCAUUUGUCUGAGAAGG
Small nucleolar RNA from Melanotaenia boesemani (Boeseman's rainbowfish), 150 nucleotides. The record is from RefSeq and is a predicted model, not a curated record. NCBI's taxonomy places the organism in Eukaryota, Metazoa, Chordata, Actinopteri, Atheriniformes, Melanotaeniidae.